This 421-nucleotide ribosomal RNA is filed under the name uncultured Bacteroides sp. Its description in RNAcentral is "bacterial SSU rRNA". It matches the Rfam family "Bacterial small subunit ribosomal RNA", at positions 355 to 773 of the family's 1533-position model. The record is from RNAcentral. Lineage: Bacteria; Pseudomonadati; Bacteroidota; Bacteroidia; Bacteroidales; Bacteroidaceae.
UGAGGAAUAUUGGUCAAUGGUCGGAAGACUGAACCAGCCAAGUAGCGUGAAGGAUGAAGGUUCUAUGGAUUGUAAACUUCUUUUAUACGGGAAUAAAACCUCCCACGUGUGGGAGCUUGUAUGUACCGUAUGAAUAAGCAUCGGCUAACUCCGUGCCAGCAGCCGCGGUAAUACGGAGGAUGCGAGCGUUAUCCGGAUUUAUUGGGUUUAAAGGGAGCGUAGACGGGAGAUUAAGUCAGUUGUGAAAGGCUGCGGCUCAACCGCAGCACUGCAGUUGAUACUGGUUUCCUUGAGUGCGGUUGAGGUGUAUGGAAUUCGUGGUGUAGCGGUGAAAUGCUUAGAUAUCACGAAGAACUCCGAUUGCGAAGGCAGUACACUAAGCCGUAACUGACGUUGAGGCUCGAAAGUGUGGGUAUCAAAC